GUAGUCGUGGCCGAGCGGUUAAGGCGGUGGAAUUGAAAUCCAUUGGGGUCUCCCCGCACAGGUUCGAAUCCUGUCGACUGCG
Molecule: transfer RNA, 82 nt
Filed under: Rhipicephalus sanguineus (brown dog tick)
Lineage: Eukaryota; Metazoa; Arthropoda; Arachnida; Ixodida; Ixodidae
Description: transfer RNA serine (anticodon UGA)
Rfam family: tRNA
About the family: Transfer RNA (tRNA) molecules are approximately 80 nucleotides in length. Their secondary structure includes four short double-helical elements and three loops (D, anti-codon, and T loops).
Source: Rfam by way of RNAcentral